GUCGAACGCUGGCGGCGUGCUUAACACAUGCAAGUCGAACGGAAAGGCCCUGCUUUUGUGGGGUGCUCGAGUGGCGAACGGGUGAGUAACACGUGAGUAACCUGCCCUUGACCUUGGGAUAACUUCAGGAAACUGGGGCUAAUACCGGAUAGGAGCUCCUGCUGCAUGGUGGGGGUUGGAAAGUUUCGGCGGUUGGGGAUGGACUCGCGGCUUAUCAGCUUGUUGGUGGGGUAGUGGCUUACCAAGGCUUUGACGGGUAGCCGGCCUGAGAGGGUGACCGGCCACAUUGGGACUGAGAUACGGCCCAGACUCUUACGGGAGGCAGCAGUGGGGAAUAUUGCACAAUGGGCGGAAGCCUGAUGCAGCAACGCCGCGUGCGGGAUGACGGCCUUCGGGUUGUAAACCGCUUUCGCCUGUGACGAAGCGUGAGUGACGGUAAUGGGUAAAGAAGCACCGGCUAACUACGUG
RNAcentral lists this ribosomal RNA (468 nucleotides) under uncultured bacterium. RNAcentral describes it as "partial 16S ribosomal RNA". It matches the Rfam family "Bacterial small subunit ribosomal RNA", at positions 28 to 507 of the family's 1533-position model. The record is from RNAcentral.